Molecule: ribosomal RNA, 253 nt
Filed under: uncultured bacterium
Lineage: Bacteria
Description: partial 16S ribosomal RNA
Rfam family: Bacterial small subunit ribosomal RNA
Source: RNAcentral
UACGGGGGGGGCAAGCGUUGUUCGGAAUUACUGGGCGUAAAGGGCUCGUAGGCGGCCAACUAAGCCAGACGUGAAAUCCCUCGGCUUAACCGGGGAACUGCGUCUGAUACUGGAUGGCUAGAGGUUGGGAGAGGGAUGCGGAAUUCCAGGUGUAGCGGUGAAAUGCGUAGAUAUCUGGAGGAACACCGGUGGCGAAGGCGGCAUCCUGGACCAAUUCUGACGCUGAUGAGCGAAAGCCAGGGGAGCAAACGGG